This 460-nucleotide ribosomal RNA is filed under the name uncultured bacterium. RNAcentral describes it as "partial 16S ribosomal RNA". It matches the Rfam family "Bacterial small subunit ribosomal RNA", at positions 338 to 795 of the family's 1533-position model. The record is from RNAcentral.
CCUACGGGUGGCAGCAGUGAGGACUAUUGGUCAAUGGGCGCGAGCCUGAACCAGCCAAGUCGCGUGAGGGAGGACGGCCCUACGGGUUGUAAACCUCUUUUGCCGGGGAGCAACGGGCGUCACGUGUGGCGUCACUGAGAGUACCCGGAGAAAAAGCAUCGGCUAAAUCCGUGCCAGCAGCCGCGGUAAUACGGAGGAUGCGAGCGUGAUCCGGAUUUAUUGGGUUAAAAGGGUGCGUAGGCGGAUCGUUAAGUCAGUGGUCAAAUUGAGGGGCUCAACCCCUUCCCGCCAUUGAAACUGGCGAUCUUGAGUGGAAGAGAAGUAUGCGGAAUGCGUGGUGUAGCGGUGAAAGGCAUAGAUAUCACGCAGAACCCCGAUUGAGAAGGCAGCAUGCCGGCUUCCGACUGACGCUGAAGCACGAAAGCGUGGGGAUCGAACAGGAUUAGAUACCCGAGUAGUC